GAUCUCCGUGCACAAAAAGAAGACAAAAGGAGGGAUGAUCAUGGAAAGAGAGAGAAGGGGGCAAAGUGGUUGGAUUCCCUGUCGAUGAAUUUGGUUGGGUCACCCGCCAAUUUAUGACUGUUGUAAUUAGGGAAAAGGUAGAAAGCAUGAAGUUUCAAUCUUUUUUAGUCAGUGAUGCUUGUCAACUAUUUAUAAAAAUGUCUGAACCAAAAACCUACUAGACCAUGGAGUGUGUUUCAUGGCUAUGUUUUGUAAUUUUUAAUAUGAUGGAUUGUUUUAGCUAA
Populus nigra (black poplar) is the source of this 284-nucleotide long non-coding RNA. RefSeq lists it as uncharacterized. NCBI's taxonomy places the organism in Eukaryota, Viridiplantae, Streptophyta, Magnoliopsida, Malpighiales, Salicaceae. The transcript is spliced from 2 exons. The record is from RefSeq and is a predicted model, not a curated record.